UGAGCAGGUUAGAUGGUCGCGAGCUUCGGCUCGAGGAAAGUCCGAGCUCCAUAGGGCAGGGUGCUGGGUAAUACCCAGUGAGGGUGACCUCAAGGAUAGUGCAACAGAGAUAUACCGCCAUUCAGAUGCCAGAAGUCGGAUGUGGGAAGUCAGAAUUAGUAUCAGUAUAUGAUAAUUGUCUAUCCAGUCUGACUUCUGACCUCCGGUUUCUGACAUCUGUUAUGGUAAGGGUGGAAAGGUGAGGUAAGAGCUCACCAGCGGAAUGGCGACUUUCCGGCUAUGUAAACCCCACCUGGAGCAAGACCAAAUAGAGGAGCAAUUGCGGUGGCCCGCCGCGCUCCCGGGUAAGGUCGCUAGAGGUGCCAGGCAACUGGCAUCCGAGAUAGAUGACCAUCCGCGACAGAACUCGGCUUACAGACCUGCUCGCUUC
Molecule: RNase P RNA, 430 nt
Filed under: Thermoanaerobacterales bacterium
Lineage: Bacteria; Bacillati; Bacillota; Clostridia; Thermoanaerobacterales
Description: RNase P RNA component class A
Rfam family: Bacterial RNase P class A
About the family: Ribonuclease P (RNase P) is a ubiquitous endoribonuclease, found in archaea, bacteria and eukarya as well as chloroplasts and mitochondria. Its best characterised activity is the generation of mature 5'-ends of tRNAs by cleaving the 5'-leader elements of precursor-tRNAs. Cellular RNase Ps are ribonucleoproteins.
Source: RNAcentral